AAGACUCUCACAGCCCGGGGCUGGCGGCGCCAGCCCGCCGCUUCGAGUGCGGAUCCUGCCCAGCCCGCACCCACCCGGAACUCGCGCUGGCGCGCGAGCGCGGCGCGCAGCUUGGGUUCCUGCCGGCGCCUCUCCCUCCACACCUCACCUCAAACAGAGGGAGCCGGCUCCGGUCUCGGCCAGCCCAGAGAGGGCCUCCCAUAGUGCAGCGGCGGGCUGAAGGUCUCCUCAAGCGCUGCCAGAGUGGGCGUCGAGGCUGAGGAGACACCGAGAGCGAGUGAGGGCUGCAAGCAUGCUGUCACCUCUCAGUAAUUUGAGAAAAUUUCUGUUUUCUAUGGGAGAGGCAUCAUGUGAGGAAGCUGUUAUUGGCUUGAAUUUCUGCCUCUUGUAUUCCUCAAAGCAAAUGAGCAGUGAAGUAGACAAGAGACCAUAAUUCCCAUAGUCAAGGAUAUUCAUAUAAAGGGCCCCACAAUGUGGAAGAAACUGCUGUAUUGGGAGCAGCAAGUACUGCAGCCCAUUUGAGGUAUGAUAAUCAGCUGAUUAGCUAGUGGAGUCGUUUUCCCUGAGGCUCUUUUGUGUGCAAAAUCCUCACACUCAAUUGACAUGUGGACAUCAUAAAGCUGAUGAAAUGCAAUUGUAAUGAACAAGAGGGAGCGGCAUCUGCAGCCGUCUAAAUGAAGGACCCUUUCCUCUCGCCAUGCUAAUUCAGAAAAUCUGCUCUUAACGUGUACUCCCCCUGGAUUCCAAAUUGAGGCACAUCUCCAUGAAUGCAUAUUCAAGGAGUGAAUUAGCCUCUGUGGCAAGUGAGCGCCUAGCCUGGCCAGACUGAUUCUAAUUUCAAGACAGAUUAUACUGCAUCAACCAUAGUAAUGAUCUGACAGUUCAUUUGUGAUGAGAGUCCUACAGUCAGCUUUACUGCUCGGACAGACAGGUGCACAGAGAGAGCCAGCAAGACCUCUCAGAAAACACCAAAGGCUGCUGUCAAAUGAUUUCAGCCCAAAUAGCCAGAUGAUAAUCUGUAUCUCUGGCCUCCUUGUCUGACUGA
This 1045-nucleotide long non-coding RNA is filed under the name Homo sapiens (human). RNAcentral describes it as "long non-coding RNA NONHSAT183122.1". The record is from RNAcentral. Lineage: Eukaryota; Metazoa; Chordata; Mammalia; Primates; Hominidae.